GCCAUCUCCUUUGGAUAGCUUAGGCUGUAGAACAUGAGACUUUUAAUCCCAGGGUUGUGGAUUCAAGCCCCACAUUGGGCA
Non-coding RNA from Podarcis lilfordi (Lilford's wall lizard), 81 nucleotides. NCBI's taxonomy places the organism in Eukaryota, Metazoa, Chordata, Lepidosauria, Squamata, Lacertidae. The record is from the annotation of a GenBank genome assembly.